AGGCAGGGCUAGUGACUGGGGUGAAGUCGUAACAAGGUAGCCGUACCGGAAGGUGUGGCUGGAUCACCUCCUUAAAGGGAGACCUAAUUCAGGUAGGAGACGAAGAAAAAGUAGUCGCUACCAAGAAUCAAUCCCAAAAGGUCGGAGCGAGGCAAGAUUGGCUUUCAAACUAGGUUCUGGGUUCACACAAGACCUGAAUCAGGAACAAGGGCUAUUAGCUCAGGUGGUUAGAGCGCACCCCUGAUAAGGGUGAGGUCCCUGGUUCGAGUCCAGGAUGGCCCACCUGCACAGGUGGAAAAAAGAAAAGAAGCGAGGAAUCAGCACCUUAUCUUACUUGUAUAGUAAGAGAGAAUGCUGGCUCUGAGUUCAGAGUCCAGAGGAACCUUGAAAACUGCAUAGAG
This 401-nucleotide small RNA is filed under the name Microcystis aeruginosa PMC256.05. RNAcentral's name for it is "bacterial LSU rRNA". The stretch from base 209 to 282 matches the Rfam family "tRNA". The record is from RNAcentral. Lineage: Bacteria; Bacillati; Cyanobacteriota; Cyanophyceae; Chroococcales; Microcystaceae.